Molecule: long non-coding RNA, 449 nt
Filed under: Homo sapiens (human)
Lineage: Eukaryota; Metazoa; Chordata; Mammalia; Primates; Hominidae
Description: HSALNT0182643
Source: RNAcentral
GCGUCACUGCCUCCUCGCCACUUUCUGGCCGUUGGCCCCGCACCCAGCUCUGUAGUUCUCCAGGUAGGACGGUAAGAAAUUGUUCCAGCACAAGCAGCUCUAGGAUCUGCUCCUUUGUCCGCCUCUCUGGUCUCAGCCACUGGUGACAAAGUUCUCGGAGUCUGAUGAGAGCUUCUCUAGGGCUUGCUGCCUCCUGGUAGCGGAAGCGUCGGAAGUUCUGGUGGGAGGUUUCCAGCACCGGGUCAUCCCUCUGUAAGACAGACUCUGGCCGACAGGUGAAAUCAUCUUCCAGUUUCACCAUCAGAAUUCCCUCUUCUUCCCAAAGAUCCUGGUCCUCUGGUUCCACGGCUGUAGCCAUUUCUUGGCUUUGGGGUGGUCUCACACCAUCUAGAGCUCACACUGUCAUUAGCCCCCCGCCUCAGCCUGGACACAGCGAGGAUUUUCUUCCA